AGAGUUUGAUCCUGGCUCAGGAUGAACGCUAGCUACAGGCUUAACACAUGCAAGUCGAGGGGCAGCAUGAAAGUUUGCUUGCAAACUUUUGAUGGCGACCGGCGCACGGGUGAGUAACACGUAUCCAACCUGCCUCAUACUCGGGGAUAGCCUUUCGAAAGAAAGAUUAAUACCCGAUGUCAUAGUCCUACCGCAUGAUGGGAUUAUUAAAGAAUUUCGGUAUGGGAUGGGGAUGCGUUCCAUUAGUUAGUUGGCGGGGUAACGGCCCACCAAGACAACGAUGGAUAGGGAUUCUGAGAGGAAGGUCCCCCACAUUGGAACUGAGACACGGUCCAAACUCCUACGGAGGCAGCAGUGAGGAAUAUUGGUCAAUGGACGAGAGUCUGAACCAGCCAAGUAGCGUGAAGGAUGACUGCCCUAUGGGUUGUAAACUUCUUUUAUAUGGGAAUAAAAUGUUCCACGUGUGGGAUUUUGUAUGUACCAUAUGAAUAAGGAUCGGCUAACUCCGUGCCAGCAGCCGCGGUAAUACGGAGGAUCCGAGCGUUAUCCGGAUUUAUUGGGUUUAAAGGGAGCGUAGGUGGAUUGUUAAGUCAGUUGUGAAAGUUUGCGGCUCAACCGUAAAAUUGCAGUUGAAACUGGCAGUCUUGAGUACAGUAGAGGUGGGCGGAAUUCGUGGUGUAGCGGUGAAAUGCUUAGAUAUCACGAAGAACUCCGAUUGCGAAGGCAGCUCACUGGACUGCAACUGACACUGAGGCUCGAAAGUGUGGGUAUCAAACAGGAUUAGAUACCCUGGUGGUCCACACAGUAAACGAUGAAUACUCGCUGUUUGCGAUAUACGGCAAGCGGCCAAGCGAAAGCAUUAAGUAUUCCACCUGGGGAGUACGCCGGCAACGGUGAAACUCAAAGGAAUUGACGGGGGCCCGCACAAGCGGAGGAACAUGUGGUUUAAUUCGAUGAUACGCGAGGAACCUUACCCGGGCUUAAAUUGCACCUGAAUAAUGUGGAAACAUGUUAGCCGUAAGGCAGGUGUGAAGGUGCUGCAUGGUUGUCGUCAGCUCGUGCCGUGAGGUGUCGGCUUAAGUGCCAUAACGAGCGCAACCCUUAUCUUCAGUUACUAACAGGUCAUGCUGAGGACUCUGGAGAGACUGCCGUCGUAAGAUGUGAGGAAGGUGGGGAUGACGUCAAAUCAGCACGGCCCUUACGUCCGGGGCUACACACGUGUUACAAUGGGAGGUACAGAAGGCCGCUACCUGGCGACAGGAUGCCAAUCCCCAAAACCUCUCUCAGUUCGGAUCGAAGUCUGCAACCCGACUUCGUGAAGCUGGAUUCGCUAGUAAUCGCGCAUCAGCCAUGGCGCGGUGAAUACGUUCCCGGGCCUUGCACACACCGCCCGUCA
RNAcentral lists this ribosomal RNA (1396 nucleotides) under uncultured bacterium. RNAcentral describes it as "16S ribosomal RNA". It matches the Rfam family "Bacterial small subunit ribosomal RNA". The record is from RNAcentral.